AAGUCGGUUGUGAAAGCCUUCCGCUCAACGGAAGAACGGCAUCCGAUACUGCAUGGCUUGAGCGUGGGAGGGGAGAGUGGAACUUCUGGUGGAGCGGUGAAAUGCGUAGAUAUCAGAAGGAACACCGGCGGCGAAGGCGACUCUCUGGUCCAUAACUGACGCUGAGUGUGCGAAAGCUAGGGGAGCAAACGGGAUUAGAUACCCCGGUAGUCCUAGCCGUAAACGAU
RNAcentral lists this ribosomal RNA (227 nucleotides) under uncultured bacterium. RNAcentral describes it as "partial 16S ribosomal RNA". It matches the Rfam family "Bacterial small subunit ribosomal RNA", at positions 585 to 810 of the family's 1533-position model. The record is from RNAcentral.